This 1056-nucleotide ribosomal RNA is filed under the name Toxoplasma gondii ME49. Its description in RNAcentral is "Toxoplasma gondii rRNA TGME49_458960". It matches the Rfam family "Eukaryotic small subunit ribosomal RNA", at positions 17 to 1083 of the family's 1831-position model. The record is from Rfam by way of RNAcentral. Lineage: Eukaryota; Apicomplexa; Conoidasida; Eucoccidiorida; Sarcocystidae.
CCAGUAGUCAUAUGCUUGUCUUAAAGAUUAAGCCAUGCAUGUCUAAGUAUAAGCUUUUAUACGGCUAAACUGCGAAUGGCUCAUUAAAACAGUUAUAGUUUAUUUGAUGGUCUUUACUACAUGGAUAACCGUGGUAAUUCUAAGGCUAAUACAUGCGCACAUGCCUCUUCCCCUGGAAGGGCAGUGUUUAUUAGAUACAGAACCAACCCACCUUCCGGUGGUCCUCAGGUGAUUCAUAGUAACCGAACGGAUCGCGUUGACUUCGGUCUGCGACGGAUCAUUCAAGUUUCUGACCUAUCAGCUUUCGACGGUACUGUAUUGGACUACCGUGGCAGUGACGGGUAACGGGGAAUUAGGGUUCGAUUCCGGAGAGGGAGCCUGAGAAACGGCUACCACAUCUAAGGAAGGCAGCAGGCGCGCAAAUUACCCAAUCCUGAUUCAGGGAGGUAGUGACAAGAAAUAACAACACUGGAAAUUUCAUUUCUAGUGAUUGGAAUGAUAGGAAUCCAAACCCCUUUCAGAGUAACAAUUGGAGGGCAAGUCUGGUGCCAGCAGCCGCGGUAAUUCCAGCUCCAAUAGCGUAUAUUAAAGUUGUUGCAGUUAAAAAGCUCGUAGUUGGAUUUCUGCUGGAAGCAGCCAGUCCGCCCUCAGGGGUGUGCACUUGGUGAAUUCUAGCAUCCUUCUGGAUUUCUCCACACUUCAUUGUGUGGAGUUUUUUCCAGGACUUUUACUUUGAGAAAAUUAGAGUGUUUCAAGCAGGCUUGUCGCCUUGAAUACUGCAGCAUGGAAUAAUAAGAUAGGAUUUCGGCCCUAUUUUGUUGGUUUCUAGGACUGAAGUAAUGAUUAAUAGGGACGGUUGGGGGCAUUCGUAUUUAACUGUCAGAGGUGAAAUUCUUAGAUUUGUUAAAGACGAACUACUGCGAAAGCAUUUGCCAAAGAUGUUUUCAUUAAUCAAGAACGAAAGUUAGGGGCUCGAAGACGAUCAGAUACCGUCGUAGUCUUAACCAUAAACUAUGCCGACUAGAGAUAGGAAAACGUCAUGCUUGACUUCUCCUG